UACAGAGGUGGCAAGCGUUGUUCGGAAUUACUGGGCGUAAAGGGCGCGUAGGCGGUUCGUUAAGUCCUGUGUGAAAUCCCCCGGCUCAACUGGGGAACUGCACAGGAAACUAGCGGGCUUGAGGACUGGAGAGGAGACUGGAAUUUACGGUGUAGCGGUGAAAUGCGUAGAUAUCGUAAGGAAGACCAGUGGCGAAGGCGGGUCUCUGGACAGUUCCUGACGCUGAAGCACGAAGGCCAGGGGAGCAAACGGG
RNAcentral lists this ribosomal RNA (253 nucleotides) under uncultured bacterium. Its description in RNAcentral is "partial 16S ribosomal RNA". It matches the Rfam family "Bacterial small subunit ribosomal RNA", at positions 524 to 776 of the family's 1533-position model. The record is from RNAcentral.